GCUCGAGAUGGUGGCGGAGGCCCUGAUAAUGCAAGUGCUUCUUCCAAAUAUCAAGAAGAACUAGCUCGAAUCCAGAGAUUCGUGGACUCAAGAUCCGUGUUGGAACGCCUAAAACAUGUUCCCACGUGGUUGAAAGAUGUGUCGCGGAAGCAAACGCCGAAGUAGUCGUAUACUUGAUGUACAAGAUUGUUUUGUCUAAAACACUUGCCAACGCCGAAGUAGUCGUAUACUUGAUGUACAAGAUUGUUUUGUCUAAAACACUUGCCAUUCUUUCAGAUGUAUAAUAUCUUCCAGAAUGUCAUCUUUGAAUCUUCAAGUACUCGUAACAUUGUA
Long non-coding RNA from Panicum virgatum (switchgrass), 333 nucleotides. RefSeq lists it as uncharacterized. The record is from RefSeq and is a predicted model, not a curated record. The transcript is spliced from 2 exons. Lineage: Eukaryota; Viridiplantae; Streptophyta; Magnoliopsida; Poales; Poaceae.